RNAcentral lists this ribosomal RNA (468 nucleotides) under uncultured bacterium. RNAcentral describes it as "partial 16S ribosomal RNA". It matches the Rfam family "Bacterial small subunit ribosomal RNA", at positions 28 to 507 of the family's 1533-position model. The record is from RNAcentral.
GACGAACGCUGGCGGCGUGCUUAACACAUGCAAGUCGAACGGAAAGGCCCUGCUUUUGUGGGGUGCUCGAGUGGCGAACGGGUGAGUAACACGUGAGUAACCUGCCCUUGACUUUGGGAUAACUUCAGGAAACUGGGGCUAAUACCGGAUAGGAGCUCCUGCUGCAUGGUGGGGGUUGGAAAGUUUCGGCGGUUGGGGAUGGACUCGCGGCUUAUCAGCUUGUUGGUGGGGUAGUGGCUUACCAAGGCUUUGACGGGUAGCCGGCCUGAGAGGGUGACCGGCCACAUUGGGGCUGAGAUACGGCCCAGACUCCUACGGGAGGCAGCAGUGGGGAAUAUUGCACAGUGGGCGGAAGCCUGAUGCAGCAACGCCGCGUGCGGGAUGACGGCCUUCGGGUUGUAAACCGCUUUCGCCUGUGACGAAGCGUGAGUGACGGUAAUGGGUAAAGAAGCACCGGCUAACUACGUG